Molecule: ribosomal RNA, 752 nt
Filed under: Bacillus cereus
Lineage: Bacteria; Bacillati; Bacillota; Bacilli; Caryophanales; Bacillaceae
Description: bacterial SSU rRNA
Rfam family: Bacterial small subunit ribosomal RNA
Source: RNAcentral
GAGUGCGGGGCUAAUACAUGCAAGUCGAGCGAAUGGAUUAAGAGCUUGCUCUUAUGAAGUUAGCGGCCCGACGGGUGAGUAACACGUGGGUAACCUGCCCAUAAGACUGGGAUAACUCCGGGAAACCGGGGCUAAUACCGGAUAACAUUUUGAACCGCAUGGUUCGAAAUUGAAAGGCGGCUUCGGCUGUCACUUAUGGAUGGACCCGCGUCGCAUUAGCUAGUUGGUGAGGUAACGGCUCACCAAGGCAACGAUGCGUAGCCGACCUGAGAGGGUGAUCGGCCACACUGGGACUGAGACACGGCCCAGACUCCUACGGGAGGCAGCAGUAGGGAAUCUUCCGCAAUGGACGAAAGUCUGACGGAGCAACGCCGCGUGAGUGAUGAAGGCUUUCGGGUCGUAAAACUCUGUUGUUAGGGAAGAACAAGUGCUAGUUGAAUAAGCUGGCACCUUGACGGUACCUAACCAGAAAGCCACGGCUAACUACGUGCCAGCAGCCGCGGUAAUACGUAGGUGGCAAGCGUUAUCCGGAAUUAUUGGGCGUAAAGCGCGCGCAGGUGGUUUCUUAAGUCUGAUGUGAAAGCCCACGGCUCAACCGUGGAGGGUCAUUGGAAACUGGGAGACUUGAGUGCAGAAGAGGAAAGUGGAAUUCCAUGUGUAGCGGUGAAAUGCGUAGAGAUAUGGAGGAACACCAGUGGCGAAGGCGACUUUCUGGUCUGUAACUGACACUGAGGCGCGAAAGCCGGCCACUC